AUGGAGCGCGAUAUGGUGGAGGCGCUCGGGUACCAGCUCGGCGGCCCCACGGCGCACACCUUCCUGGGCCACUUCAUGAGGUACGCCGAGGGGAAGGACAAGACCAAGAUCCUGCCAUUGGCGACUCGCCUCGUUGAUCAGUCUCUGCUCAACUAUACGUGCCUCCGCUUCUUGCCGUCCGUCGUGGCGGCGUCCGCGAUAUUCCUCGCGAGGCGGACCCUGAAUACGCCCGACGUCCUGGCGUGGAACACGGAGCUGACGGAGCUGACGGGUUACAACUGCUCGGACAUGACAGCCUGCGUGCUUAAUAUGUUCUUCUUCUCGCGCUCGCUCAUCUGUAGCCCUCCUUCUUGA
This 354-nucleotide ribosomal RNA is filed under the name Triticum aestivum (bread wheat). RNAcentral describes it as "partial small subunit ribosomal RNA". Lineage: Eukaryota; Viridiplantae; Streptophyta; Magnoliopsida; Poales; Poaceae. The record is from RNAcentral.